GUGCUCUCCCCUGUUUCCGCUGCUGCCUCUCACGCUUCCACACCUCGCGCCACACCUGAUUUGGCCUCUCCGUCCUCGGUGUCCAACACGAGGAGCAGUACACGAGGCUGCACCGCAGCCGGUGACAAGGAGGAUGACAUUGGGAGGCGAUGACACCGCUGCUCAAACUGUGGCGACGUUAGAGCCAUUGGUUAUAGAGUCAACCACGAACGGGGCAGGCGACCUACAGAUCCCGGCGGGGCGCCAUUGAACUGCGAGAUGGAUCCAAUGGAGUUGUGGUGGGCUGUAGGAAGGAGGGAAAGACAGUGGCAUCACGCUUGAAAGACGGCGGCAUCAAGCUCGAAUCGGUCGCUAGCAUCAUCAAUGGUUUGAGCUAUCAAGAGUGGAAUGGAAGGUGGAAAGAGAAUGGUGCGAUUUCUUCAUCUACGAUAACUCUGCUCUUGUACUCUUGAGGAAUGCUGACCAGUGACACUGACAAACAUGGAUGGAGGAGGUUAUUCUGAAGUAAGUUUGAAAAAAAAAAAGACCUGGAUAGAUCAAAGAAAUACAUCAAGAUGUCGCAGAAGUGGCCGGGAAGGAUGUGUUGCCAACACCACCGAGCUUCGGGUAGAUGGCCGGCCGAAUCUUGAACACAACCCACACUGUCCCCAUCGUGUGGCCGGCAGUGUCGAGCCCUUCAUUCGUUGCUGCAGCAGAUUUUUCUUCGUACCUGGAGGAGAAGAAGCACAGUGUAA
Lolium rigidum is the source of this 734-nucleotide long non-coding RNA. RefSeq lists it as uncharacterized. The record is from RefSeq and is a predicted model, not a curated record. The transcript has 4 exons. NCBI's taxonomy places the organism in Eukaryota, Viridiplantae, Streptophyta, Magnoliopsida, Poales, Poaceae.